UACGAAGGGUGCAAGCGUUACUCGGAAUUACUGGGCGUAAAGCGUGCGUAGGUGGUUUGUUAAGUCUGAUGUGAAAGCCCUGGGCUCAACCUGGGAAUUGCAUUGGAUACUGGCAGGCUAGAGUGCGGUAGAGGAUGGCGGAAUUCCCGGUGUAGCAGUGAAAUGCGUAGAGAUCGGGAGGAACAUCUGUGGCGAAGGCGGCCAUCUGGACCAGCACUGACACUGAGGCACGAAAGCGUGGGGAGCAAACAGGG
RNAcentral lists this ribosomal RNA (254 nucleotides) under uncultured bacterium. Its description in RNAcentral is "partial 16S ribosomal RNA". It matches the Rfam family "Bacterial small subunit ribosomal RNA", at positions 524 to 777 of the family's 1533-position model. The record is from RNAcentral.